RNAcentral lists this unclassified non-coding RNA (1057 nucleotides) under Hevea brasiliensis (rubber tree). Lineage: Eukaryota; Viridiplantae; Streptophyta; Magnoliopsida; Malpighiales; Euphorbiaceae. The record is from RNAcentral.
ACCAAUAUGGAUAUGCAAAGUCUAUGAUAAGGCACAGAACCAGGCAAUAUCCCAUAAAUCAGCAAUGUUAUAAUUGCAAAGUCUCCAAUUCACUAAAGUGAGAUACUCCCUCACCCUGGACAAGAAAAUCAUGACAGGUCCUAAAUAAGAUGUCCCUUUUCUCUCUCCUUUCUAAUAGUUCCUAAAAAAGUCCUUGUAGUCUUAGUUUCUUACAGAUUAAUUGGUGGUAGUGUAUAACACCUGGACAGGGAAACCUAGCCCUGCUGCUGAAGCAAAUUUGAAGAGUCCGCCAUGUCACAAUAUCAUAUGUGCGAAGGAUUUGUUCACCCAUUUGAAUAUUCUAAGAUUGGACUUGUUCACAAAAAGGUUGGGCAAAUAUAGAGUUGGGAUUGCUUUACUCAUCAGCAGAUAUCAAUCCAAAUUUCAUAGAACUUGUCCAGAAACCAGUUGCACAAAUGACAAAUGAAAUCCAAUUAUGCAUGUCCAAACAUCAUCAACAUCUCCAUCUAAAAAAUAUGCACCCAAACGAAAUAUUUUCUUAGCAAAACUUAAUAUCAUUUUAGAAUUCAUUUAUCUGGCCAACAAGGCAGUGAGGCACCAAAAAUCAACCAUGCUCUUUACACUCUUGUAAAAUAUUUGCAUAAUUUAGUCUUCAACAAGGCCAUCAAACUGCCUUCAAGGAGACAUUUCCAUGACAAGUUUGAGUUAUCUGAUACAGAAAACAAAUACUUCCUCUUAGAUAUGAUUUUAGGGUCCAGCUCCUUAAUCAGGUAUUCAACCAAACCAACUAAGAAAUAAAGAUAUUUGACUAUGAAAAAUUUUUAAAGGAACAUUAGGGUUAAAGUUAAAAGGGCCAAUUUCUUUUUAUCCUAAAAAUUGUGAGAAUUUCAAUACCUUAAUAAAAUGAACCAAUGCCUUCAACAUUUCCCAAACUGGCAUCGGCAAUAAACCUUUUAACACAUUCUAGUAUGUAUGGAUCACACUGAAUACCAUGUUAUUGGAGAUCACAGCACAUUAAUUAAAAAACAAAAAUUACAAAUUAUAGUUUUGAUUAAUA